RNAcentral lists this transfer-messenger RNA (346 nucleotides) under Treponema sp. It matches the Rfam family "transfer-messenger RNA". From Rfam's summary of the family: Bacterial tmRNA, also known as 10Sa RNA or SsrA, is named for its dual tRNA and mRNA-like properties. Its role is to liberate the mRNA from a stalled ribosome. To accomplish this part of the tmRNA is used as a reading frame that ends in a translation stop signal. Lineage: Bacteria; Pseudomonadati; Spirochaetota; Spirochaetia; Treponematales; Treponemataceae. The record is from RNAcentral.
GGGGGUGCCCCGGUUUCGACUGAUACGGUUCGGGAUACAAGCCGCAGGUGGAGCGCCCGUCUCCUGAUCGGGCAAAACAUUAACUGCCGACUACGACAGUUACGCUCUCGCCGCGUAAGCGCGGGAACGCGGAAACCAGCCCCGCCGCCUUGAGGGGUUGAGUUUCCGUCGCAAACAAGGCUGGCUUGGCCGCCGCUUCCGGAGACGGCCCGGUAAGAUUACCCGGAAUACGGAGAGGCCGCGCGCUGUCUAGUCAAGCCUCUCCCGACAACACAAUAGGCGGCUAAACCUGUAGACGCUUGUGUUUCGCGUAUUAGGACGCGGGUUCAAUUCCCGCCACCUCCAA